GAUGAAGAACGUAGCGAAAUGCGAUAAGUAGUGUGAAUUGCAGAAUUCAGUGAAUCAUCGAAUCUUUGAACGCACAUUGCGCCCUUCGGUAUUCCGUUGGGCAUGCCUGUUCGAGCGUCAUUUAAACCUUCAAGCUAUGCUUGGUGUUGGGUGUUUGUUCCGCCUCUGCGCGUGGACUCGCCUCAAAUUCAUUGGCAGCCGGUAUGUUGGCUUCGUGCGCAGCACAUUGCAAGCGAUUUCAACAGACCUCCUUACAUAAGCCCUUUUUUUACUUUGACCUCGGAUCAGGUAGGGAUACCCGCUGAACUUAAGCAUAUCAAUAAGCGGAGGA
RNAcentral lists this unclassified non-coding RNA (331 nucleotides) under soil metagenome. RNAcentral's name for it is "partial contains 5.8S ribosomal RNA, internal transcribed spacer 2, and large subunit ribosomal RNA". The stretch from base 1 to 120 matches the Rfam family "5.8S ribosomal RNA", at positions 35 to 154 of the family's 154-position model. The record is from RNAcentral.